CGAGCCCGAGCGUACAAGCCCCAAUCCAGCUGCAUCCACGCAUCUCGGCUCCCGUGCACAAUCUCAGGCGUCCAUUUGAAGGAGGUCGCGCUUCAGCGUCCAAACCCCAUCCGUCCGUGUCCCAGCUUCUACCCAGCAUCCACGAGCCUCCCAGAUUCCAUCUCCCGCGAUCACAUCCCAGAUUCUGCGAUCGCGAUUCAGCCAUGCGCCCCUUCCAAAUCAACUUUCGGAUAAGAUAUCCAGCCUGAUCUCCCGCAUCCCCUGUUUCCGCUCAUCCAGAUUUCAUCCGCCUCACGCGUCUCCCAGCCGUCCGCGAAGCAACCCGCGAUCAACGCCCCAUGCUUUCGGACCCGUAUCAGUGCCUCCCAGCAGCGCGCGAUCACCUCCCAGAUCUUAGGAUCCCACGCAUCAUCCGUUACCAUCUCCCGCCUCCCAGCUCGUCCCCCGCACCCGUGAUCAACUCCUUCCCGCGAUGCAUGCCAAGUAAUCCGUGGCCAGCACCCUCUCCGCGUCCAUUCUCAGCAUUAGAUCCGCCCGCGUGCAUAUCCAGCAUCCUCCCAGCGUCCGUGCCCAACUCUUCAUCUUCCACGUUUGCUUCUCCCAAGCGUCCAGGCCUCACCCAUCCGAGCUUCAUUUCCAGCUCAUCCACGCCUAGCAUUCCCAGUUUUCCGUGGCCAAAGAAGGAAACCAGAAGCAGUGUUUCAAUCAUCCGAAUCCCAACAAUUCUGGCUCAACAUUCCAAGUUGAUCCCAAGUUCCCCGCGUCCAUGAUUCACUUCCCGGAUUUCAGCCGUCCAUGAGCAAUCGUCCGCAUUCACAGCAGUGCUCCAGCGUCCCACGCAUCUCGUUCUUCCCUUCAGAGGACCAGGCAUAGAAGGGAUCUUGAUCCCUCUCAAUCGGGCCAUAUUCUCAGCACUCUCCCGGCGUCACAGCAGCACCCGCGUCUGAGAAUCACGGAAUCCGCGUCCCGGUAUCCCACGGCCAGCCGGGAUGCGCAUCCUUAGUUUGGAAUUUUUGGUUUUGAUUUCUGAGGAAGUUUUGUUUCUGGGAGAGGUUUGAUUGUAUAAAAAGGGAAGGAUCUUGUUCGGCUGGGGGAGGUUUUUCUGGUUCCCACAAAAAAAAAACAGUUAGAGGCUCUGCUUUCAAAAAGAAAAAGAAAAGGGAAGAGGAACAGAGGAGAUUUUUCAUGUUGAUGGCCGGCUAAUCCCUUUGGUCAAGGGUGAUGGGAGAACCCUUAACUUGUUACUUUCUUGAAGUCGCAUUUGCAGCUGAACCCAUGUCCACGUCACCCUUUAAGUGCUUAGAGAUCAAGCUUCCAUGUCAUCCCAUUCCUCCCCUGUUUUAAGCUUCCAAACAGAGUCAACCCCAAUCCUCUUUUCAUCACGAAUCAUAGCCACGUUUGUUGAGUCCAGCAUCCACCACCCUAGCUCUUCCGAAGCCCUUGCAUCCCAACUCAUCUCUCAUCCUAUUCUUCGGAUCAAGCCAGUAAACCCGAACUCCCAGCCGAUUCUAGCUCUCUCUUCCAUCCUUAUCCAAUCGCAAGAUCAACUCCCAGCAAAUCUUAGCAUCCGCAUCAAAGGAUCAAGUCUCCCCUAGCCGUGAGCUUCAUCCAAGAUCAUCCCCUGCUCCCAGCCAAAAGAAAUCAAAAAUUCAAACCCAGCCGGUGAGCAUCUCUUCCUUAUCUGAAUCCCCUGCAUCGUGGAUUCUCUUCUUCUUCCGCGAUAAGAUCAACUCCUCCCAGCCAAGAUCCCAACGUCUCUCCCCUGCAUCCAAUAGGUUCAUCUUCAUCUCCAAUUAGAAAUCCUUCAUCCUAAACCACCAAUCUUCAUCCCAACUGCAUUGUCUCCUGUUCCCGCAACCGUACGCGUCUUCCUCAUGUCUGAAUUUCCUCCCAGCUGCAACCAGCCAUCUCCCAACAUCCUAGAUCUCCUCCGCGUCUGAGUAUUCCGUGGACAGUAUCCGGAUUAGUUCCAUCUCUAGCUUUUCCUCCUUCCACAGAUAACUCCCAGCUCAUUCCUCCCAUAUCUUCACCUCUAAUCCUCCUAGCGGAACAGCCUUCCAUUUCUUCCCCUGUUUCGGAAACAGAACAGAGUUCAUCCUCCUUCCCAAGCUUAUCCUCCCAAGAUAGACUGAAUCCAACAUCUACCCAUGGAUAAAGUCCAGCUCAUCUUCUCCACGUCCUCCACGUUGAAGCCCUUACAGAUUCCUCUCAGCCAUGAGCAACAAUCCAGCUCCCCUGUUACGCGUAUCUCCUAGCAUCCCGAGCAUCUCCUAUCAGCCAAGAUACUCUCAACUUCAUGACUUCCUUUUCUUCCGUGAUUCAGCCUCAUCCUCAUCUCCGAAUCUCCCAGCUUCAGCCAUUCAUCCCGCAUCCUAGCUCCCUCCCAGCCGCGUGCGGAUUAGACCCAUGCAUUGAUCUAGCUCUCACAGCAACGAACAGAGCAACCCGUCUCCCUAACAUUUGGAAGAUAGCAACCGUCUGCGAUCCAAGAUUUCCUUCCGGAUCAUCUCCCAUCAUGCGCGGAAGAGAUGAAGCCUCCACGAGCUUAUCCUCCCAUUCGGAUCAGCCACAGAGGAGGAGAGAGGGGGAGAUUCCAGCCUAUAAAAGGAAGAGACUUCUCUUCCUUGCCAACCAUCUCUUCUCAGGAGGCCGAAUCCCAUAGAUAAAAGGAGGGAGAGAAGUUUGGGUAUUGUGGGAAGAACUUCCCACAGAAAAA
This is a non-coding RNA of Phoenix dactylifera (date palm), 2716 nucleotides long. NCBI's taxonomy places the organism in Eukaryota, Viridiplantae, Streptophyta, Magnoliopsida, Arecales, Arecaceae. The record is from RefSeq and is a predicted model, not a curated record.